Molecule: long non-coding RNA, 201 nt
Organism: Maylandia zebra (zebra mbuna)
Lineage: Eukaryota; Metazoa; Chordata; Actinopteri; Cichliformes; Cichlidae
Source: RefSeq, a predicted model, not a curated record
UUUGGAUGGGUCCACAAGAGCACAAAGUGCAUACUUUUUGAAGAAAAACAUCUUUCAGAUGUAUGAGAAAUUGAUUGGAGCCUGUCUGGAAAACGGCAGCCACUGGACCUUGUUUUUUUGUGACAUACCCAAGAGGACCAUAGUCUAUAUGAAUUCAUUUGGCGAGUCGGAGGUCAGAAAAAGUGCGGUGUUGAAAAACUG